Neofelis nebulosa (Clouded leopard) is the source of this 2784-nucleotide long non-coding RNA. RefSeq lists it as uncharacterized. Lineage: Eukaryota; Metazoa; Chordata; Mammalia; Carnivora; Felidae. The transcript is spliced from 2 exons. The record is from RefSeq and is a predicted model, not a curated record.
UGUUGUGUUCUAUCAAUUAUAUCUCACCUUCCUAUCCUUUCUCUUUUCCCUUCUUAAUGUGAACAGAAUAAAUGAACAUUUGGGUAUUAACACUUUGGACUUUGCUAUUCUGAAUGAUCCACUAAGUGCUUCGCCCUGUGAUUUUUGCUUUCGUAUACUUAAAUAUGGACUAUUUCUUUUGUUCUUUACAAUUGAGAAAUCCCUGGAAAAUGCAACUAAUUUAGCUAGAGUUAUUAAGUUAAAGUAUUUUUUUAAUCUUAUUUUUGAGAGAGAGAGAGAGAGAGCGCGCAAGCAGGGGAGGGACAGAGAGAGAGGAAGACACAGAAUUGGAAGCAGGCUCCAGGCUCCAAGCUGUCAGCACAGAGUCUGACAUGGGGCUCGAACCCAUGAACCAUGAGAUCGUGACCUGAGCUGAAGUCAAUGAGCUCAACCAACUGAGCCACUCAGGCGCCCCUUAAGUUGAAACUUAAUGAUAAUAAAGGUGUUAGCAGUGAUUUAUACUUAACCAUGAUGUGAAAUGUAUCUAUUAAGGCUCUAAGAUUAUUUUUCUUUCUUCAUUUUAAAUGGCACUUGACCUUGCCAAGGUGGUCUUAAAACUUACUCUCCUUCCUUACAGUGAUUCUUUGAGUUGAACAACAGAUAUAGCUACAAUUGGUAAUAAACUCACAAAUUUAUUACUAAAAUUAUCAGUAAUAAUUUGCUUAUAAUUUUUUUACAAAUAAAAUUAUCUAUUAUUGAAAUUGAAGUCGUUACUUUUGAACUGCUUUAUAUAUAAUUGCUUAGGUGAAAAAUGACUUAAGCUGGUUUAUUUUGUACUUGGAUUAAUAAUUAAUUGAUAUGGAUCUGUAGGCAAAUUAUUACUCAAAAUACUGGUAGGUUCUACUGUCUUGAAACCUAUAACUUUGUGAUAAAGCAGAAUCAUAGUUCUUCCGGACACACAAGUUAAUGCCUAGUUGUUGGGGAAACCAUUCUGAUCUCCUCUAUGUGUAGGCCAUUUGCCAAUGUUCUCUGUAGAGAAUUCUACCAGUGGGGAAUAAAAUUAUAUAUUUAAGGUGUACAACGUGAUGUUUUGAUAUAUGCAUACAUUGCAAAAUGAUUACCACAGUCCAAAGUAAUUAACGUAUCUAUCACCUCUCAUAAUUACCUUUGUGUGUGUGUGUGUGUGUGUGUGUGUGUGUGUGUGUGUGGUGAAAACACUUGAGAUCUACUUCUCAGCAAAUUUUAAGUAUACAGUACGUUAUUAUGAACUAUAGUCACUAUGCUGCACAUUAAGUCUCUAGAACUUAUUCAUUUCAUGACUAAAAGUGUGUAUUUUUUAAUGAAUAUCUCACCUUUGACCCCAUCCCUAGCCUCUGUUCUCUGUUACUAUGAUUUGCCCUUUUUAUUAGAUAUUUUUAAAAGAUGCUAGAGUAUGAAUUAUAUCCUAUGAGUAAUUGUAAAAGAAAAAGAUGCAAAAUUUACUACUGAAUUGUACACUUUAAAUGGGUGAACUUUGUAGGGUAUGUAAAUUAUAUUUCAAGUUUUUUUAAAAAAGGUCAAUAUUGAUGAUUUGCUCCUUUCUUAAAAUUUGAGCUAGAUUUAUAACUGAACUAGAGAACAAGUGUUUAUGUUCUAAAUGCCACUCAUUUAAGCUAUGGUAUUAUUCAUGCUUCAUUUUAAGAAUUAAGUUCUACACAAUAUAUAGGGGCACCUGGGUGGCUCAGUCGGUUCAGCAUCCGACUUCAGCUCAGGUUAUGAUCUCGCAGUUUGUGAGUUCGAGCCCCGCGUCGGGCUCUGUGCUGACAGCUCAGAGCCUGGAGCCUGCUUCGAAUUCUGUGUCUCCCUCUCUGUCUGCCCCUCCCCUGCUCAUGCUCUGGCUCUCUCUGGCUCUCAAAAAUAAAUAAACAUUGAAAAUAAAUUUAAAAAAAAGAAUUAAGUUCUACACAAUAUAUAAAUCUUUGCACAGAGGCCAUACUAAUUUGUGUCAGUUUAGUUUUAGUAUAUGUGCUGCUGAAGUGAACAUACUGAAUCCUGAUUAUUGAGCUCUUGUUUCUCUCUGAAAAAUGUAUUUAAUUGUAACUUAGUUUGGAGGCAUUUUUGGCUGUUGGUGUUGCCUCUGAAAAUGCUGGUAUAAUCAUUUAGUUCUUUUAGAAGGUGGGCUUUAGGAAAUCCUGGGUCAGGAGCCAGAAUUGAUCCUAAAAAGAACUACUUUUCUCUGUGAUAUGUUUUACAUACUGAACUAUCAGGAGAAAUCCCCAGUGUCCCUCCCCAGUGUCUGUUGCUACUUUCUUUCUUUCUUUUUUUUUUAAAGAGUGUUAAAUUUUUUUAUUAUUAACCAUUUUUUUUUUUUUUACAUUUAUUUAUUUUGAGAGAAAGUGCAUGAGCAAAGGAAUGGCAGAGAGAGAGAGGGAGAGAGAGAAUCCCAAGCAGGCUUUGCACUGUUAGUGCAGAGCCCAAGGUGGGGCCCAUCCCACCAACUAUGAGAUCACGUCCUGAGCUGAAAUCAAGAGUCGGAUGCUUAACUGACUGAGCCACCCAGGCACCCUAAAAAUCUUACUACAAAGUUUUAAGUAGAAAAUUAGUAUUAGGGACAGCUAGGUGGCUCAGUCAAUUAAGCAUCCAACUCUUGAUUUCAGCUCAGGUCCUGCUCUCAUGGUUCAAGAGAUAAAGGUCCUCCUUGGGCUCUGUGCUGAUAGCUCGGAGCCUGCUUGGGAGUCUCUCUGCCCCUCCCCCUCUUGUGCACAUGCUCAGUCUCUCUCCCUUCCCAAAUAAAUAAAUAAUAAACUUUAAAAAAAAAAGAAAGAA